This 101-nucleotide small nuclear RNA is filed under the name Rhinolophus ferrumequinum (greater horseshoe bat). Lineage: Eukaryota; Metazoa; Chordata; Mammalia; Chiroptera; Rhinolophidae. The record is from RNAcentral.
UGCUCGCUUUGGCAAUAAACUAAAAUAGAACGAUACAGAGAAGAUUAGUAUGGCCCCUGCACAAGGACGACGCGCAAAUUCACAAAGCAUUCCAUAUUUUU